UACGAAGGGGGCUAGCGUUGCUCGGAAUCACUGGGCGUAAAGCGCACGUAGGCGGAUUGUUAAGUCAGGGGUGAAAUCCUGGAGCUCAACUCCAGAACUGCCUUUGAUACUGGCGACCUUGAGUCCGGGAGAGGUGAGUGGAACUGCGAGUGUAGAGGUGAAAUUCGUAGAUAUUCGCAAGAACACCAGUGGCGAAGGCGGCUCACUGGCCCAUUACUGACGCUGAGGCACGAAAGCGUGGGGAGCAAACAGG
RNAcentral lists this ribosomal RNA (253 nucleotides) under uncultured bacterium. RNAcentral describes it as "partial 16S ribosomal RNA". It matches the Rfam family "Bacterial small subunit ribosomal RNA", at positions 524 to 776 of the family's 1533-position model. The record is from RNAcentral.